Molecule: transfer RNA, 71 nt
Filed under: Loxodonta africana (African savanna elephant)
Lineage: Eukaryota; Metazoa; Chordata; Mammalia; Proboscidea; Elephantidae
Rfam family: tRNA
About the family: Transfer RNA (tRNA) molecules are approximately 80 nucleotides in length. Their secondary structure includes four short double-helical elements and three loops (D, anti-codon, and T loops). Further hydrogen bonds mediate the characteristic L-shaped molecular structure. tRNAs have two regions of fundamental functional importance: the anti-codon, which is responsible for specific mRNA codon recognition, and the 3' end, to which the tRNAs corresponding amino acid is attached (by aminoacyl-tRNA synthetases). tRNAs cope with the degeneracy of the genetic code in two manners: having more than one tRNA (with a specific anti-codon) for a particular amino acid; and 'wobble' base-pairing, i.e. permitting non-standard base-pairing at the 3rd anti-codon position.
Source: Rfam by way of RNAcentral
ACAUUGGUAGUUCAGUGGUAGAAUUCUCUCCUUCCAUGCAGGAGACCCAGGUUAGAUUCCUGGCCGAUGCC